Petromyzon marinus (sea lamprey) is the source of this 1846-nucleotide long non-coding RNA. RefSeq lists it as uncharacterized. NCBI's taxonomy places the organism in Eukaryota, Metazoa, Chordata, Hyperoartia, Petromyzontiformes, Petromyzontidae. The record is from RefSeq and is a predicted model, not a curated record.
GCACCCACGCGUGUUGUAACAUAGUGCAGAACAAUCUUCUCCAGCCGCAGCCGCUGCUACCUGAAGAAGCCAGCUUGGAAAAAAAACAACGGUCCGUGUCACCGAGUCGAUCAUCUACAAGCUCAAAGCAGACAUGGGUGCGAGAUUCCUUCUGCUGAUCCUGGCGGCUCUUUGCCUCUCAGCGAAUGGACAGUCGACAACGUUGCUUGAUUCUUCGACUGCUGAACUCUCAACCAUCCCCGCCACCACAACCUCCUCCACCACAACCUCCCCCGGCACAAUCACCACCACCACCACCGCCACACCUGCCGCCUCCAAAACCACCUCGACCGUCGUCACUCCCACCACCAACUCAACGGCCGCCACCUCAAUCACCACGGCCCAGCAAACCACCGCCAAGGCACCGGCGACGGCAACGGGCGGACUCGUUGCGGUGCUCCUCCCAGCAGCACUCGUCCUGGUGGCGUCGUGGUAGCAAGGGGACGCAUCCAGCCCUGCAGUUGGUGCCAACACCCACCCCAUGCCCCGUAACAACCCACCCCAUGCCCCGUAACAACCCACCCCAUGCCCCGUAACAACCCACCCCAUGCCCCGUAACAACCCACCCCAUGCCCCGGUAACAUCCACCUCUUGACUCAUAACAUCCACUCCAUAACAUUCCCUUCCGAAACCACCAACGCCAGCAGCAGCAGCAGCAUAUGGCUACACAGGGCACAAAGAUCCAUCAUCGUUGAAUACAUUUUGCACCCAGGCUUGUAGAGCAGGUUUAUGCACGGCUAACUGGACGUAAAAAAAAAAUCCACACCAAGUUGCGAUUUAAGUUUUAAUAGGUUGCAGUAAUCAAACUUUAGAGGCGCGCAUCUUACAUCUAACAAACGUACGGCCGGAUUACAUCCCCCAGUGUGCAAAACCGAAGCGCUGCUCUUCACCACGUUUACUCUUUGAUGUCUGCAAACAACUCGCAAAAAAAGCUAAAUAACUCGGCAGUUAAAUCCAAUGGACAUGGUAACUGCGACGUUGUAAAUGGCCUCGCCUUUGUGUCUGGCUUAUAUGCGAUGUCAAAAGCUAAAACGUUGAUGCCAGCCAUGUUUUAGUUUUUUAUUGAUCACGCGGAGUUAACGUUUGUGUGUGGGGGGGGGAAAUAAAUCUAACGCCGAAUAACAUCAUCGCAUUUACAAGUCACCAAUCCAGCCCUGAACGUGUUAUACAACAUUGUGAUACAUCUACAUAAAGCAAUUCAGUAGCCUCAAAUGAAUUAUUCUAUCUUUAAACAAAAAAAAACCUGGUAUAUAUUCUUUGCUGUGGCUUUUAAAUAUAGUGGACACAUUUUAAACAAUGCAUAAUCUUUCCAUAUAUAUGUUUUAUACCUUUUUUGGAGGGAGGGGGGAGUGAUAUUUCAGGAACGGUUUGCCAAAUCACUGUAUCCGGAUAUAAGAGGCGAAUUAAAGAAAUUGCAAUUAAAAACCAUACCGCGUGAUUCACAUUCAAGGGCCACUUUCUCAGUGAACGAUCGUGGCCGGCAAAUUGCCGACAGCAAGGCAACCGUGCACGCGUUCCGAAAACAACAACCGUCAAUUUUGUUACAUGGCGUGUACAUUGAUAACUAUGCACCGUGCGAUGAUCCCGGAGUGAUUUCCUUCUUAAAUUAAGCUAUUUGUGUGAAUCAAUGUUUUUACGCCGAUUUUUAUAGUUAACAAAAAAAUGCAAGUAAAUUAUACGUGCUGUGCCUAUAUAUAUAAUGUGCAUUGCAACCGGGGUGUGGGGAGAGCCGGAAGUCCAUUAUUUUAUCGCCGAUUUGCGCUAUGCACUUUCUCAAUAAAUUGCUUUGGUUUUAAUUUUUUACAAA